Molecule: non-coding RNA, 8048 nt
Organism: Microcebus murinus (gray mouse lemur)
Lineage: Eukaryota; Metazoa; Chordata; Mammalia; Primates; Cheirogaleidae
Source: RefSeq, a predicted model, not a curated record
CAAGCAAUCCUUCUGCCUCAGCUUCCCGAGUAGCUGGGACUACAGGUGACUUUGAUGGGUGCAUAAGUGACACAAGGCACCAAGGAUUUCUGCAGGUUUCCUGGUAGAAUAAGAUGUGUACUCAAGAUAUUUUACAUGAUGUGCUUUUCAUGUCAAGGCAUCACAGUGAGCCUAUGAAUGGCAGUUAACAAGGUCAGCAGCGGGCCUUGAGGUAAGUGAUGCUGUGGGCCUAAAGCACAGCCCAGCCAUCUGAUCUUCAUAUAUGUAGGUAAGUGAUGAUGGUGUCUCUAACACUUCUUGUUACCAGGAUUUUUUUUUUCCCUUUUAAAAUUGUUUAAAAAUGCUUUUAUAGGCUGUAUAGGAUCCCAUCACAUGGGAGACAGGGAAAAGCUCGCCUGGCCCUCACCAGCACCCUACACACCAUAUCUUUGACCAGCGGCCGAGAGCAGAGCACACUCUCCACGUUCCCCUUGCUGCAACUCCCAGUAUCCUUCUUCCUCAGUCCUCUUCGUUGCCAGGAUUUUGUUGCAGGUGUUCAGGUAAUUGAUAACGUGAUUGUACCACAGUGCAGACCAUCUGACCUUCAAGCUAGGUCAGGAGAUCCUGGUCAGACUAUCGAUGCUAGUUAACGUGGGCCAUUGCUGAUAUUGAGGUAGGUGCUGAGGUGGGCCUAAUCCACAGCACAGACCAUGUAUCCUCAUGCAUAUAGGUAAGUCAUGAUGGUACUACAUUCCUUGUAACCAUAAUUCUUACUAAGUAUUUAUGUUCAGAGUGAUAGAGUCCUUCCCAAUUCUAGAAAACCUAUUUUCACAUUUAUAUUUCAGAAAAAGUUUAUAUUUAACCCUGUGUGUGUGGCAGGAUUGCACAUAUCCAGGUAUUUAUCAUUGGUUUCCCCACCACAGUGCUGCCCGUAGGGUUUUUAUAGGUGCCCAGUCAAGAAAUUAUGGUUUCCUGAUAUCGGUGUUGACCAAGGAACCAGGUAGAGUUGAUGUGUCCCAUUAUAGUGGAAGUGACCAGGCUUAUUUGCAUUUAUCCUGGUAGGAAACUUGUGUCCUUCCUUAAACACAUAUUUUAUAAUUUUUUUUUCAGAAACCUGUGAAGAGAUUAUGGUGAAUCUAACAUAGAUCUUUAAUGAGGGCUGUCAUUGGUGUGCAGGUAAGUUCUGUCAUGGACCUAACCCAAAACACAGGCCUCCUGAUCUUCAGGUAUUUAGGUAAGUGAUGAUGGUGUCCCUAACACCUAUUGUUAGGAUUUCUUUUGUAUUCUGGUAAGGUAUUCUUUUAAGAAAUCAUAGCUUCUUUACCUGUACUGGAAACCUUGAGAUUUCUCUUUUCUUAUUUAGAUGAAAUGUGUAACCCUGAGAAUGUUGUAGGGUUGCACAUAUCCCAGUAAUUAUCAGAUGUUCCCAGCCACAGCCAUCACCAUGGACUCUUUCCAGGUGUCCUGCAAAGAAAUAUCUCCUGACUUUGGCCCUGACCUUGGAGUGCCGCAAGUAUUGAGGUAGUGUAGCUGUGUCCCAUAUUCUUGGAUGUGACCAACUUUAUCCACUGGUUCCUGUUAGAACAUGUUGCUUCUGUUUAUACAUCUAUCACAAUGUUUCUCAGGUUUCUCUGAAGAGUUCAUGAUAAUCUUAACAGUGAUCAUUAUCAGGGGACAUUUCUGGUAUUCAGGUAAGUGAUGUUUUGCAUGUUUACCACAUCACAGACCAUGUGAUCUUCAUGCAUCUGGGUAAGUGAUGUUUGUUUGCCUAAACUGUUUUACCAUUUGAUUUGUUAACAGGUAUUCAGGGAAGAAAUGAUAGAAUCUUUACAAAUUCAAAUAACCAGGAAUUUAUACCUUUUUAUAUUUUAGAGAAAAUUUACCUUUAACCUAGUAGUGUUAAGGAAUUGAUUUUAUUCUGGUUAAUUGUAACUGUUAUAAAACUAACACUCUUGUGGUAAACAUAGGAUUUUUGCAGAUGUCCAGUUAAGAAACGAUGGUCUCUCCUGACAAUAGUGUUGACUUUGAGUUAAUCCAGGUAUCUGUGUAAAGCUGAGGUAUCCCAUAAUAAUGACAGCUUGCAAGGUAUGGGCAGGUGUCCUUGUAGAACAAGUUGUAUACUUAAACACAUCUUUUGCGUGUGGUUUUUUCAGGUUUCUCUAAACAAAAACAGUGUGCUAAAUAAUGGUUGUUAUUGGAACCUUAUCUAGUGACCAGGUAAGUGAUACAUUGGGUCAUACCACUGUGCAGACCCUCUGACCUUCAAUAUCUAGGUAGGUGUACCUAACGCUUGUGUUGCCAUGGUUUUUUGCUGGUAUUUUGUCUUUGCUAUUAUACAGUAUAAUAAAAUGUCACAUUAACUCAUUACAGACAUUCUUAUUUUCAUAUAUAUGUAGGUAACUAAUGAUAUUUUUGAGACUGUUACAUUAACCUUGUUUUUGGCAUAUAUGCAGUUAUGAAAUUAACUUCUUAAUAUACUAAUACUAAUAAUACUAAUAAGCGUGAGAUUUUAUUGUAUUCUUGCUUGGAAAUAAUGUAUAUUUAACUCUUUUAAUUGUAGGGGGAAAUGUAGGUAUCCAGGUAAUUUCUCAUAUUGUUGAUUACCACAAUAUUGACCAUGGGAUUUUUUCAGGUAUCCCUUUAAAGAAGUAAGAGGUCUCUUACAAGGCUUUUUUCUUCAGAGUUCUGUGAGUAUCCAGGUAGUGCUGAUGAGUCCUGAAAUGAUCAAAUGACCAAGGGAGUUUGCAAAUACACAGGUAGAAUGAGAUGUGUACUAAUCACUUGGUACACAAUGUGCUUUUUGGAUUCAUGUCACGACCACAGUGAGCCUCUCUCUGAUUGUUAAUGUGGGACGUUGCUGGUAUGGAGGCAGUGUUGGUGUGGACCUAAACCAUAGCAUAGGUCAUCCGAUCUUCAGAUAUCUAGGUAAGUGAUGAUGCUAUCCCUAACAUUUGCUGUUACCAUGAUUUUUUUUUUUUUGCAGGUAUUCAAGUAAGCAAUGAUUAAAUUACUAAUUGUAGAAACCAUGAGUUUCCACAUUUUAUAUUUCAGGAAAAAUUUGUGCUUAAUCCUCUGAGUAUUGAGGAAUUGUACAUAUCCAGGUAUUUAUCAUUCAGUUCCCUCCAAUAGAACUUAACUACCUGUAGGAUUUUUACUGGUGUCCAGUGAAGAAAUAACAGUUUUCUGACAUCAGUGUUGACCUUGGAUUACUGCAACUGAGAGUUAAUGUCUCCGAUAAUGAUAAAAGUGAUCAAGUUUAAUUGCAGUUAUCCUGGUGGAGAUAGUUGUGUCCUUAAACACAUUUUUAAUAAUGUCUUUCUCAGAUUCCUGUGAAGCGAUCACAAUGAAUCUAACAUUGGUCUUAAAUGGCAGAUACUGCUGAUAUCAAGGCAGUGCUGAUGUGGACCUAAACCAAAGCACAGGUUUUCUAAUCUUCAGAUAUCUAGGUAAGUGAUAAUAUGUACCUUGCACUGGUCAUUAUCAUGAUUUCUUUGCAGGUAUUCAGGUAGGAAAUAAUAGUCCUUACUAAUUCUCAAAACCAUGAGUUUUCCUUUAUUAUAUUUAGAGAAAAUGUUUAGCCCUGUGUUGUGGGAUUGCUCAUACCCAGGUAAUUGUCAGAUGUUUUCAGCCACAUAGUAACCAUGGAAAUUUUGCAGGUGGUUCAUUAAAAAAUAUUAUCUUAUCUAACAAUAGUCUUGAUUUUGGAGGACUGGCUGCAAGUAUUCAUGUAGAAUUGAUGUGUCCCCUAAUGACAGAUGUGAGCAAAAUUAUUUGCAGGUGCCCUGGCAGAACACAUUGUGGUUUUUUUAUAUCUAUAUCAUAAUAUGUUUUUUAGGUUCCUGUCAAGAAAUCCUGAUGAACAGUGGUCAUUAUCAGGGGACAAUUCUGGCAUCCCGGUAAGUGGUGAUGUGCACUUUAACCACAUCACAUAUCCUCUGAUUUUCACGUAUCUAGGUAAGUGAUGUUUCUUUUCCUAAACUCUUUUACCAUGUGACUUUUUAAACAGGUAUUUAGGUGAGUAUUAAUAGUGUUUCCCAAUUCUAGUGAUUAUGUUAUCCUAUUAUUUUCUAUUUUAGAGAAAAUUGAUGCUUUACCUUUUGAUUGUCACAUAAUUUGCAUGUACCCAAGUAACUAACAUGGUGGUAUGCAUCACAGCAGUAACUAUGGCAUUUCUAUAGAUAAGUAAUCAAGGGAAAAUGGUGUGUCCUAUCAUGGUAUAGACCUUGGAAAUACUGCAAAAAUCCAGGUAGAUUUAUGGCUCUUGCAAAUAAGCAAUUUAUAUAUAAGCAAUUUAUAAUAAGCAAGUUAUUUGGAGGGCCUUAUAAAAAAGCUGUGUCCAUAGACACAUGUGUCACUAUGUGUUUUCAGGUUCCUGUCAAAAAAUCAUGCUAAACCUCAUAGUGAUCAAUAAAUGAACUUUACUUGUAUCCAGGUAAGUGAUGAUGUGGGCCUUAAGCACCCUACAGACAAUCUGAUCUUCAGAAGUACAGGUGAGUGUGGAUGGUGUUCCUAACUUCUUUGUUACCAUGGGUAUUUUUUUGCAAGUAUUCAGUCAUCAAAUGAUAAUGUCCCAGCCAAUUCUAGUAAGCAUUAGCCUUUACAAUUUUGGAAAUGGGAUAUAAUGUGUGUUUAACUUCAGUAGCAAGCAAGGGCUAUGCAGGUAUCCAUGUAAGUUAUCCUACUAUUUCACAUCACAGUAUUGACCAUGAGAUUUCUAAGUCAAGUGAUGGUUUCUCUAACAAUGGUGUUGAUCUCAAAGUUCUGCCAAAGUCCAGUUAGUGUUAAUGGUUCCCCUAAUGAUGAAAAUGACCAAGAUAAGUUACAGGUGCCCCCCUCCUAUUUUUUUGCAGGUAAAACAACGUGUAUCAUUAAACACACUUGUUGAAUGUGCAUUUUCAGGUUCCAGCAAUCAUGAGAUCAUAGUGAACCUAACAAUGGUCAUUUAUGGGUCCUUGGUAAUAACCAGGUCAGUGACAAACUGGAUCUUGGCACACUACAGACCAUCUGAUCUUCAGAUUUCUAAGUGAGUAUGGUCUCUCUAACAUGAUGUUACUGUCAAUUUUUUUAUUCAGGUUUCCUGUUGUUUGGUAGUAUACAGGUGUGAGAUGAUGUGAUUCUAACUCGUUAGAGACCUUCUUAUUUCCAGAUAUGUAAGUGAUGAAUGAGGUUUUUAAGAGUGUUAUAUUAACCUUCUUUUGGGCAUGUAUGCAGUUUGAAAAGUAAUUUGUCCCUAAUAAUACUGGCAAGCAUGAGUUUUUAAUAUAUUCUUUUGAGAAAAUGUUUAUUUAACACUUGUACUGAUAGAUAUGCAUAUAUCUUGAUAUUUUAUCAUAUUGUCCAACACCAUGUAAUUGACCAUGAGAUUUUUGCAGGUAUCCAUUAAAGACUGGAUGGUGCCUCUUCCUACAGUUUUACCUCAUUCUGCAAUUAUCUACGUAAAUUUGGUGAGCCACCAAAUAGACAAGAGACCAAGGGAAUGUGUAGUUUUACGGGUAGAAUAAGACCAGUACCAAACCCAUUUCCAACAAUGUGUUUUUCAGGGCAUGUCAGGAGAUCAUAGUGAGCCUAUCUAUGGUAAUUAUCAUGAGGUAUUACUGGUUUUGAGGUAAGCAAGGAUGGGGACCUAAACCACAGCACAUACUGUCUGAUCUUCAUAUAUACAUAUGGAAGUGAUGAUUGUAUCCCUGACACUUGUCGUUACUAUAAUUUCUUUGUAGGUAUUCAGGCAGGAAAUAAAAGAAUAGUUACCAAUUUUCAAAACUAUGAAUUUUCACUUUUGAUAUUUAGGGAAAAUGUUUGUUUAACCCUUGAGUGUUGAGAAAUUGCACAUAUCAAGUAAUUAUCAUGAUGUUCGUAGCCACAGUAGUAACCAUGGGAUUAUUGCAGGUGUCCUCAAAACAAAUGUUGUCUUAUCCAAUAGUGGUCUUUACUUUGUAUUACUGCAAGUAGACAGGUAGAGUUGAUGUGUUCAUAAUGAUGGAAGUGACCAAGGUUAUUUGCAGAUGUCCUGGUAGAGCACCAUUGUAUUUUUUACACCUAUAUCAUAAUGUUUUUCAGGUUCCUGUUGAGAGAUCAUGAUAAACCUAACAAUGGUCAUUAUCAGGGGACAUUUCUGGUGUCCAGGUAAGUGAUAAUAUACACUUUAACCACAUCAAAGACCAUCUGAUCUUCACAUAACAGGGUAAGUGAUGUUUGUUUGCCUAAACUUGUUUUACAAUGUGUGUUUUUUUUUAUAAGUAUUCAGGUAAGUAGUGAUAGUGUUUUCCCAAGUUAUCCUACCGUUUUAUAUCCUAGAGAAAAAUUAUUUUUUUACCCUAUACGUGUCUUAUGAUUUUCAAGAAUCCAGGUAAUUUUUAUGUGUUCUGCAUCACAAUAUUAUCCAUGGUAUUUUUGCAUGUGUGCAGUCAGAAAACAAUGGUGACAUUAACCAUGGUAUAGACCUUGGAUUACUGUAAGUAUCCAGGUAGAGUUAUAUGUCCUGCAAUGAAGGAAGCAAACAAGAUUAUUUGCAGCUGUAGAAGUUGAAAAUGUGUGUUCAUAAACACAUUUGUCAUGUGUUUUUCAGAUUCCAGUCAAGAGAUCACAUUGAACUUCAUAAUGACUGGUAAUAGAGACUUUGCUUAUACCCAGGUAAGUGAUGAUGUGAGCCUUAAGCACACUAUAAAUCAUGUGAUCUUCAGUUAUCUAGGUAAGUAAAAUUGGUCUUCCUAACAUUUGUGUUAUCAGGGUUUUUUUUUGGUUUUUUUUUUUUGCAGAAAUUCACGUAAGAAAUGAUAGUGUCCCAACAGGUACUAGUAAGCAAUAGCCCUUUCUAUUUUAGAAUUUAAAUAUAUGUGUUUAACCUUAAUAGUAACUAAGGGAUAUGCAGGUAUCCAAGUAAGUUAUCCUUUUGUCCAUCACCUCUUUAUUGACUAUGACUUUUUUUUUUUUUUGGCAGUUAUCUCAUCAAGCAAGAAUGUGCCUCUAACUAGGUUAUUGACUUUGAACUUCUGAAUAUUUCCAAGUAGUUUUGAUAGGCUCCCUAAUAAUCAAGUGACCAUGGAAUUUUGCAGGUGUUGAUGUGGUACAUGUAUUCCUAACACAGUUUUUACCAUGAUUUUUUUGAAGGAUCUAAUAAAGAGAUGAUAGUGCCUUUGCUGGUAUCCAGGUAAGAUCUAUUAUCCAAAUUAAAUAGUAUUAUUAGUUGAACCAUCAUCUCUUGAUUGCUGUUUUUGGAGAUGUCCACUCAAGAGUUAAUAUUAUCUCUAACUAGUAUUGAUCUUGGAUUUUGCUAGUAUCUAGGAAGAUUUUAUGUUUCCCUUUAAGUUCAUAGUAUCCAUAGAAUUUUCUGGUAUCCAAGUUGUAGCUUUGUCUGUAAAUGCUGUUGUCUCUGGGUUUUUGUAGAUUCCAAUUAAGAGAUUAUUGCAAAUCUUCCUACGGUAUUGAAGGCAAGAUUUUGUUUGCAUCCAGCUACAAGAUGAUGAUUGUCCAAAGUUGGAGUUCAUGAGAUUUUGCAGAUAUUUAGGUAAGCUGUACUGGUGUUCUUAAGCCAACAUAGUGGCCAUGUUUAUUUGGAAGUGUCCUUGUAAAUUAUGUUGACUAACCAUUAUGAUGAGCAGGGGAAUUUUGCAGGCAUCACACUAUGAAGGUGUCACUCACUAAGGUGUUAUCCUUGGAAAUGUGCAGGUAUCCAGGUAAGAGUUGAUGGUGUCCCUAAUCAAGAUUGUGACCACGGGAUUUUGCAGUUAGGCAAGGGGUAAUGUUCCCCUACUGUGAUAUUUUUUCCUGGCCUUUCUAGAGAUCCAGAUAAGAGAUGAUAUUUGUCUAAUACAUUGAUGCAGGUGAUCGUUGCAAGUAUAUUGGCAGAAGAUGAUGGUGUCUGUAUAUGUAGCACGGACCUUUGAAUUUUGCAUGCAUCCAGGAAUUCUGGAAAGAGAUGAUGGUGUUCCUAACAUUACUGACCACAGGAUUUUGCAGAUAUUCAGCCAACAGAUGAUGGCAUCUCUAUCAAUGAUGAUGUCCAUCAGAAUGAAAGAAAAAUGGUAUACUUUUAUGUUAACUAUAUAUUUUAUUAAAUGAAUUUUAACAGA